GUGAGGAAUUUUCCGCAAUGGGCGAAAGCCUGACGGAGCAAUGCCGCGUGAAGGAUGAAGGCCUAUGGGUUGUAAACUUCUUUUCUUAGAGAAGAAUAUUGACGGUAUCUGAGGAAUAAGCAUCGGCAAACUCUGUGCCAGCAGCCGCGGUAAUACAGAGGUCUCAAGCGUUGUUCGGAAUUAUUGGGCGUAAAGGGCGCGUAGGCGGGAAGGUGUGUCGACCUGUAAAUCUAUCGUUUCAAGCGGUAGGCUUGGGUUGAAACUGCCUUUCUAGAGGAUUUCAGGGGAGUUUGGAAUUUACGGUGUAGCAGUGAAAUGCGUGGAUAUCGUAAGGAAGGCUUGUGGCGAAGGCGAAACUCUGGGGAAUACCUGACGCUGAGGCGCGAAGGCUAGGUUAGCAAACGGGAUUAGAUACCCGUGUAGUCC
RNAcentral lists this ribosomal RNA (426 nucleotides) under uncultured bacterium. Its description in RNAcentral is "partial 16S ribosomal RNA". It matches the Rfam family "Bacterial small subunit ribosomal RNA", at positions 354 to 796 of the family's 1533-position model. The record is from RNAcentral.